Molecule: ribosomal RNA, 253 nt
Filed under: uncultured bacterium
Lineage: Bacteria
Description: partial 16S ribosomal RNA
Rfam family: Bacterial small subunit ribosomal RNA
Source: RNAcentral
GACGAACCGUGCGAACGUUGUUCGGAAUCACUGGGAUUAAAGGGCGCGUAGGCGGGUUCGCAAGUCAGGGGUGAGAUCUUUCGGCUUAACCGGAGAACAGCCCCUGAUACUGCGAGUCUUGAGGGAGGUAGGGGCAUGUGGAACUUCCGGUGGAGCGGUGAAAUGCGUAGAUAUCGGAAGGAACGCCGGUGGCGAAAGCGACGUGCUGGACCUCUUCUGACGCUGAGGCGCGAAAGCUAGGGGAGCAAACGGG